GUGAUUGCCCCAGCAGCACAUAUACUGAAGAUUGGAAUGAUACAGAGAAGAUUAGCAUGGCCCCUGCAUAAGGAUGACACUUAACUCAUCCAGCACUUAUUU
This 102-nucleotide small nuclear RNA is filed under the name Spermophilus dauricus (Daurian ground squirrel). The record is from RNAcentral. Lineage: Eukaryota; Metazoa; Chordata; Mammalia; Rodentia; Sciuridae.